UGUGAAGGACAAGGGACUAAGGGCUCACAUCUGGUGAGGGUCCCCUUGCUUCUCAUCCUGUGGC
This 64-nucleotide small RNA is filed under the name Fukomys damarensis (Damara mole-rat). RNAcentral's name for it is "Bacillaceae-1 RNA". It matches the Rfam family "Bacillaceae-1 RNA". The record is from Rfam by way of RNAcentral. Lineage: Eukaryota; Metazoa; Chordata; Mammalia; Rodentia; Bathyergidae.